GACGAACGCUGGCGGCGUGCUUAACACAUGCAAGUCGAACGGAAAGGCCCUGCUUUUGUGGGGUGCUCGAGUGGCGAACGGGUGAGUAACACGAGAGUAACCUGCCCUUGACUUUGGGAUAACUUCAGGAAACUGGGGCUAAUACCGGAUAGGAGCUCCUGCUGCAUGGUGGGGGUUGGAAAGUUUCGGCGGUUGGGGAUGGACUCGCGGCUUAUCAGCUUGUUGGUGGGGUAGUGGCUUACCAAGGCUUUGACGGGUAGCCGGCCUGAGAGGGUGACCGGCCACAUUGGGACUGAGAUACGGCCCAGACUCCUACGGGAGGCAGCAGUGGGGAAUAUUGCACAAUGGGCGGAAGCCUGAUGCAGCAACGCCGCGUGCGGGAUGACCGCCUUCGGGUUGUAAACCGCUUUCGCCUGUGACGAAGCGUGAGUGACGGUAAUGGGUAAAGAAGCACCGGCUAACUACGUG
RNAcentral lists this ribosomal RNA (468 nucleotides) under uncultured bacterium. Its description in RNAcentral is "partial 16S ribosomal RNA". It matches the Rfam family "Bacterial small subunit ribosomal RNA", at positions 28 to 507 of the family's 1533-position model. The record is from RNAcentral.